Molecule: long non-coding RNA, 218 nt
Filed under: Panax ginseng (ginseng)
Lineage: Eukaryota; Viridiplantae; Streptophyta; Magnoliopsida; Apiales; Araliaceae
Description: long non-coding RNA (PGIN_LNC009743)
Source: RNAcentral
UGCCAUAGCCAGCUCAUUUCCUCGGAUGCUUUUGCCAGAAAACAUAUUGUUUCAUCAGAGCUUAGUUGACCAAGAUCUACUGUGUAGACAUUUCCUUCUCUUGUUCCGGUCAGCUUAUGGCAGAUGUCUUCAAAUCUCUGACUAGACAUUGGUUGUUGAGAAAUGUUACUUGGUGACCCUUGUCGCAGAGUUGGCUGAUACUUAGAAGGUUGUGUUGG